UACAGGGGGGGGCAAGCGUUGUUCGGAAUUACUGGGCGUAAAGGGCCAGUAGGCGGCCAACUAAGUCACACGUGAAAUCCCCCAGGCUUAACCUGGGAACUGCGUGUGAUACUGGAUGGCUUGAAUUCGGGAGAGGGAUGCAGAAUUCCAGGUGUAGCGGUGAAAAUGCGUAGAUAUCUGGAGGAAUACCGGUGGCGAAGGCGGCAUCCUGGACCGACAUUGACGCUGAACGGCGAAAGCUAGGGGAGCAAACGGGG
RNAcentral lists this ribosomal RNA (257 nucleotides) under uncultured bacterium. Its description in RNAcentral is "partial 16S ribosomal RNA". It matches the Rfam family "Bacterial small subunit ribosomal RNA", at positions 524 to 777 of the family's 1533-position model. The record is from RNAcentral.